UAGCGGAUGACCUGUGGCUGGGGGUGAAAGGCCAAUCAAACCGGGAGAUAGCUGGUUCUCCCCGAAAGCUAUUUAGGUAGCGCCUCGUGAAUUCAUCUCCGGGGGUAGAGCACUGUUUCGGCUAGGGGGCCAUCCCGGCUUACCAACCCGAUGCAAACUGCGAAUACCGGAGAAUGUUAUCACGGGAGACACACGGCGGGUGCUAACGUCCGUCGUGAAGAGGGAAACAACCCAGACCGCCAGCUAAGGUCCCAAAGUCAUAGUUAAGUGGGAAACGAUGUGGGAAGGCCCAGACAGCCAGGAUGUUGGCUUAGAAGCAGCCAUCAUUUAAAGAAAGCGUAAUAGCUCACUGGUCGAGUCGGCCUGCGCGGAAGAUGUAACGGGGCUAAACUAUGCACCGAAGCUGCGGCAGCGACACUAUGUGUUGUUGGGUAGGGGAGCGUUCUGUAAGCCUGUGAAGGUGUGUCGUGAGGCAUGCUGGAGGUAUCAGAAGUGCGAAUGCUGACAUAAGUAACGAUAAAGCGGGUGAAAAGCCCGCUCGCCGGAAGACCAAGGGUUCCUGUCCAACGUUAAUCGGGGCAGGGUGAGUCGACCCCUAAGGCGAGGCCGAAAGGCGUAGUCGAUGGGAAACGGGUUAAUAUUCCCGUACUUGGUGUUACUGCGAAGGGGGGACGGAGAAGGCUAUGUUGGCCGGGCGACGGUUGUCCCGGUUUAAGCGUGUAGGUGUGUGUUCCAGGUAAAUCCGGUUCACUUUAACACUGAGGCGUGACGACGAGGCACUACGGUGCUGAAGCAACAAAUGCCCUGCUUCCAGGAAAAGCCUCUAAGCAUCAGGUAACAUCAAAUCGUACCCCAAACCGACACAGGUGGUCAGGUAGAGAAUACCAAGGCGCUUGAGAGAACUCGGGUGAAGGAACUAGGCAAAAUGGUGCCGUAACUUCGGGAGAAGGCACGCUGACACGUAGGUGAAGUGAUUUACUCAUGGAGCUGAAGUCAGUCGAAGAUACCAGCUGGCUGCAACUGUUUAUUAAAAACACAGCACUGUGCAAACACGAAAGUGGACGUAUACGGUGUGACGCCUGCCCGGUGCCGGAAGGUUAAUUGAUGGGGUCAGCGCAAGCGAAGCUCCUGAUCGAAGCCCCGGUAAACGGCGGCCGUAACUAUAACGGUCCUAAGGUAGCGAAAUUCCUUGUCGGGUAAGUUCCGACCUGCACGAAUGGCGUAAUGAUGGCCAGGCUGUCUCCACCCGAGACUCAGUGAAAUUGAACUCGCUGUGAAGAUGCAGUGUACCCGCGGCAAGACGGAAAGACCCCGUGAACCUUUACUAUAGCUUGACACUGAACAUUGAGCCUUGAUGUGUAG
This 1362-nucleotide ribosomal RNA is filed under the name Salmonella enterica. RNAcentral's name for it is "partial 23S ribosomal RNA". It matches the Rfam family "Bacterial large subunit ribosomal RNA", at positions 798 to 2141 of the family's 2925-position model. The record is from RNAcentral. Lineage: Bacteria; Pseudomonadati; Pseudomonadota; Gammaproteobacteria; Enterobacterales; Enterobacteriaceae.